This is a non-coding RNA of Phascolarctos cinereus (koala), 2545 nucleotides long. The record is from RefSeq and is a predicted model, not a curated record. NCBI's taxonomy places the organism in Eukaryota, Metazoa, Chordata, Mammalia, Diprotodontia, Phascolarctidae.
AUUUUAGCUGGAACCUAAAGGAUGCCAGGGAUUCAAGAAGUGAAGAUGAGGAGGUGGAGAAUUCCAGGCGUGGGGGACAGCCAGUAAAAAUGCCAGUAAUCUGGAGAUCGAAUAUCUUAUUUGAAGAACAGCAAGUGUCACGAUUGAAUUUUGACAAAUGGGUAAACUGAGGCAGAUCUCAGAACAAUAUAACAUUAAUUAGCAAGGACAUGUUACCUGUCAACAAAUGGGUCAGUGGCUUACCUCCAUUAAUGCCAAAGAUCCCAAGCAAAAAGACAAUUCCCCUUAGAUAGGUUUUGGGGAGUACAGAACAAAGAACAGAGCAGGGUAAAUGACAUCAUAGGAUUAUGGGCAACAUGCUUGGUUGGAAUUUGGUUAAGGGGGCUAGCAAUGAUACCUCCUCCCUUCUUUUCUCAUGAGACUAAAGGUGAUCUUUGUUUGAGUUCAGGUGCAAGAUGGUGGUCCAGACUUUUGGAUAACAAAACAGAUAUCUUUGAAGGAUAUUGUAGUGGAAUAAAGAUAUCAGGCCCAAACUCCGUUGUUUUCUCAGAGUUCACCAAGGUCAGUUAAAUUCCUUGAGGCAGGAGAGCUAGAGUUUAAAAUUUAACCCAUUAAAGGCCGGCUGAACUCUGAACUGAGUUCAGAGACAAAGAACCACGACUUAAGCAGUUACAGGGCAAAAUAAAUUACUUGUAAAAGGAUCAACAAGAAGAUGAUACAGGAUCAAUCUUUGUCUUCUCAUGAGGAAGCCAGUGUCACUGGAUCAAAGGACUGACAUUCCAGCUCUGGGUAUGCCCACAAUUUAUGAGACUAAUUGGUUCUCAAUUAAAUUGUUGAUCUGGUGCUUGAGCAUUAUUCCUCCUGUUUGCAUUUCAUGAACCAAGUGGUAUCUUAAAUUGGGCCAAGUAUAGCUGUCAUUCUGCUAAGAAAAAGUUAUAAUGAGUGCAAAACGACACCUAGAGAUUAUGAAGCUGAAACUGAAGGAAAUGAUAUGAUUACUCUAAAUGAUCAUACAACUAAUAAGCAGAAGAACCAGGGCCAGAACCCAGUUCUCCCAAUUCCUUGUCAAUAAUCUUAGAUGGGUCGGAUCAAGGAUGAACGAAGUAUGGGGUAUGCCAAUGGGGAGAACAAGUUGUUCAGGAGGAAGUGUGUGUGGUUAGUCAGCCAUGUGGACUCUAAGCAACAGUGGAACUAAGAGUCCCAUCUUAGCACAGGAGAACUGCUGUUCUAGACCUGAUUGAGUUGGUGAAGAAGAAAUGAUGGAUCCCCUGGAAGUCAGUGAUCAUGAUACCUUGGAUUUUGUGAGAAAUAUAGAAGAAAACACUGGGAACCAACUGAUAUGUAUUUUGAACAUUAAGAGAAAGGAUUUCAAAGAGAAUUCAAAGAAAGAAAAAAAGAAAAGCUAGAUGAAUAAAUUAUUGAAUUAUUGAAAAAAAAAGAAGAAGAAUGGCAUGGUCUUCUACUAGCAGCAGGAGCACUGAAAUCUGAGCUGAGACUUUCAACAAAUACUUUCAACAAAGAGAAUCAGUCCCAGUUCUUGAUGUGUCUACCUCCCCUGCUACCAAAGAUCUUCAUGCAGUACAUGAAGGCUGGACAUCCAUUUGUCAGAGAUAUUGCAGACGGAAUUCACGAUUUGGGAAGGGACUGGAUUAUAUAACUUCUGAGGCCCCUUUUAACUUGUAGUUCUGAAAUUCCAUGAUGGGGGGUGGGGGCAUUACAUAAGUGGAUUCCUGGCCAGUCACUCCCUGAACACAAUGCCAGUACAAGAACUCCAAGUGCAGAAGGGGGAGAUAGGCAGUUUGGGUCAUCCUUUGAGCAGUGGUGGGAACAUCCCAACCUGAUCCCACCUGGUACUGAGAUUGGAAUCACGAGUUCUAAUGGAAGAGACUGCUGGGUGCCCACUUCCUCUGUGUAGCCUUUGUAAAAGUUAAAGUACCAUGUGAACUGUAAAAUUGAGCUGUGUUGAUUAUAAUGUAAGCUGAGCUUUUUAGAGACAACAGGCAAGGGAAAGGGGGUAGUGUGAGCAGAAUUGUAGGGGACAUGGUUAGGCUUGAUAGGGAAAUAGGGUUUCUUUCUUCCCUUACUUCAGACCAUAGGCAGAAUGAAAACCUAGAUACUAAUCUGAGUCUUGACAUGUAUCUGGGAAAGUCAUUAAUGUUUGAUUUCGUUUCCUCCUUUACAUAAUGUAGGAAACACAUUUGGUCCUGUCCCUACUAAGAAGAAAACAUUAGUAUUCAAACAAAAUACGCUGGAUUCAUAUUUUUCCGUCCUUCCUGGUAUUAUUUAGACUUUUAGCAUAAUCAGGUUACCUCAGAGAUAAACAAAUGAACAACUGGUCUUAGUACAGGUCUGCUUCCACAGAGCUGGAGAAGCAUAAGAACUGUUUUAUCCUUUGACACUCUGUGAAAUUCAAUUCUACAUAAAAUAGAGUUGACUGGGUAGUUUAUCAUUAUCACUAAAUGUCUGUGUAUAUUUUGCAUUUACUUCUCUGCAUUGUUUUCCUUGAGUGGACUUGAGGAGAGGAAUGGUUUUGUUUUUAUGUCUU